ACUCUUCCAACCUCAACCAUUCUGUGGUUCUGUGAAGUCAUCUGGACAAAAAUAAAUGAACACAAAUAGCAGCAGGGCCAAAGGAAGUUCAAGUCUGCAUGGGAUGUAUAGCCAUUUUGGUGUUCCUGUUCACAAGGAAUUGCAGUUUCUGUAUGAUUGAAGCAAAUUGCCCUGCUUUUGCAGUUUGAGACCUUUGGGUAGAUAAACCAUGUUUACGUCUUUUUGACUUGGAAAAAUAAAAUAUUUUUGUUAAGAUUACUGUUUGUUACA
This 270-nucleotide long non-coding RNA is filed under the name Anas platyrhynchos platyrhynchos (common mallard). RNAcentral's name for it is "lncRNA (ENSAPLG00000027545.1)". Lineage: Eukaryota; Metazoa; Chordata; Aves; Anseriformes; Anatidae. The record is from RNAcentral.